This 87-nucleotide transfer RNA is filed under the name bacterium. RNAcentral's name for it is "tRNA-Leu". It matches the Rfam family "tRNA". From Rfam's summary of the family: Transfer RNA (tRNA) molecules are approximately 80 nucleotides in length. Their secondary structure includes four short double-helical elements and three loops (D, anti-codon, and T loops). Further hydrogen bonds mediate the characteristic L-shaped molecular structure. tRNAs have two regions of fundamental functional importance: the anti-codon, which is responsible for specific mRNA codon recognition, and the 3' end, to which the tRNAs corresponding amino acid is attached (by aminoacyl-tRNA synthetases). tRNAs cope with the degeneracy of the genetic code in two manners: having more than one tRNA (with a specific anti-codon) for a particular amino acid; and 'wobble' base-pairing, i.e. permitting non-standard base-pairing at the 3rd anti-codon position. The record is from RNAcentral.
GCCCUCGUGGCGAAACUGGUAGACGCGCAGCGUUCAGGACGCUGUGAGAGUAAUCUCAUAGAGGUUCGAGUCCUCUCGAGGGCACCC